AGUGAACGCUGGCGGUAGGCCUAACACAUGCAAGUCGAACGGCAGCACAGUAAGAGCUUGCUCUUACGGGUGGCGAGUGGCGUACGUGUGAGGAAUACAUCGGAAUCUACUUUUUCGUGGGGGAUCACGUAGGGAAACUUACGCUCAUACCGCAUACGACCUACGGGUGAAAGCAGCGGAUCUUCGGACCUUGCGCGAUUGAAUGAGCCGAUGUCGGAUUAGCUAGUUGGCGGGGUAAAGGCCCACCAAGGCGACGAUCCGUAGCUGGUCUGAGAGGAUGAUCAGCCACACUGGAGCUGAGACACGGUCCAGACUCCUAAGGGAGGCAGCAGUGGGGAAUAUUAGACAAUGGGCGCAAGCCUGGUCCAGCCAUACCGCGUGGGUGAAGAAGGCGUUCGGGUUGUAAAGCCCUUUUGUUGGGAAAGAAAAGCAGCAGGUUGAUACCCCGCUGUUCUGACGGUACCCAAAGAAUAAGCACCGGCUAACUUCGUG
Molecule: ribosomal RNA, 492 nt
Filed under: uncultured bacterium
Lineage: Bacteria
Description: partial 16S ribosomal RNA
Rfam family: Bacterial small subunit ribosomal RNA
Source: RNAcentral